This 1152-nucleotide ribosomal RNA is filed under the name Triticum aestivum (bread wheat). Its description in RNAcentral is "partial small subunit ribosomal RNA". The record is from RNAcentral. Lineage: Eukaryota; Viridiplantae; Streptophyta; Magnoliopsida; Poales; Poaceae.
AAAGAAACCCCCACCCGUAGCCCAAACCCUAACUCAGAUGAGAUCCAAUCAACCCCCUCCUCCCAUCGCACUCAUCCCCCUCGUCCCCAUCUCCUCGCUGCCGCCACCGAUAGAAUCGAGCGCUAGGGUUGGAGCGCCGCCGCCGGACCCGUCCUCGCCUCCGACCACCGCCCCUCUUCCUCGCAAGCGAGCACAGCGCACCAGGUGUCGGAUGAGUUGAUGCGGCAGGACAAGGAGAGGCGAGGUGAGGCAGCGCGGGAGGCAGGGCGGCCAAGGUGGGGAGGAAGGUGAAUCUAGGGAAUCUGGCAGGAGCGGCGGUUUGGCUGUGGGUGUGGGGGAGGGCGGUGGGGCUGGGCGGACGGCGUGAACAAGGGCGGCGAGGGGGAGGACUGCAGGCUCAGGCCCUGGCGGCGGAGGCUUCUCGCGUCCAUGGCGUUCUCAUGGCUCUCGGCCCUCCGCCUCGCUAUGGGUGCCGUCCUGCUCACGGCCGCCAGCAUCACGCUCUUCACGCUCCCCAUUGAAAAGGAACAGGCAUUUUGGUAUGGCAUUGUGUUAUAUAUGGCUGAAAGUUUCCCAACAAAUGGAGUCAGUUGCUGCAGGCAUGCAUUCAAAAGUUCAGGAUCGUUACAAAUGGGCACAAUGCUGCUGGAGCUGGUAGACAAGCUAGCACCCAUGGAUUCGUGAACUUUCUUGGAUGUGUACUUAGUCGCCGGGGUUGGAUGAGGACAACGGCAAUAAGGGUGACUAGUGAUAUUCAGUGUUUCUUGUGUGUGUUUUCUACAUACACACACAUGGUCCUUUGAUGUAGGGCGGAACCCCAAGUGGUCGAUCUUUCACGUUUGGAGGGGAUCCUAUGGGAGAACAUGAGGAACAUGCGGAAAUCACAAAGGGGAACACGGGGAAAACAAGAGAGAAACACUAAACCGACAUAGAAUCAAUCACAUGAGUGCUAGAUCACCGGACACAUAGAGUAACAUAUGAUCCACAAUCAACAAAGGGAAAGGAGUCUACGAUGAGCUAACAUAGAUGAUCGAUAUCGACUUGUAAUGUGAAGACAAACUCGCUACUCGCGGUCUCGAGACUUGUAAUAUAAUGUUCUAUCUUUCUUCGGUCUUUUCAAUUCGGAGACUAAUAUGAUGAAUUGUAUUCGGA